Molecule: ribosomal RNA, 467 nt
Filed under: uncultured bacterium
Lineage: Bacteria
Description: bacterial SSU rRNA
Rfam family: Bacterial small subunit ribosomal RNA
Source: RNAcentral
AUACGGAAGGCAGCAGUGGGGAAUAUUGCGCAAUGGGCGAAAGCCUGACGCAGCGACGCCGCGUGGGUGAUGAAGGCCUUCGGGUCGUAAAGCCCUGUCGAGGGGAACGAAGCGGGUCCGACCUAAUACGUCGGGCUCUUGACGGUACCCCUAAAGGAAGCACCGGCUAACUCCGUGCCAGCAGCCGCGGUAAUACGGAGGGUGCAAGCGUUGUUCGGAAUCACUGGGCGUAAAGCGCGUGUAGGCGGCCCGCUAAGUCUGAUGUGAAAGCCCGGGGCUCACCCCCGGAAGUGCAUUGGAAACUGGCAGGCUCGAGUCCCGGCGGGGAGGGUGGAAUUCCUGGUGUAGCGGUGAAAUGCGUAGAUAUCAGGAGGAACACCGGUGGCGAAGGCGGCCCUCUGGACGGUGACUGACGCUGAGACGCGAAAGCGUGGGGAGCAAACAGGAUUAGAUACCCGGGUAGUCCU